GGGCUUGUGAUGUUAAAUCAAAUAUUAUCUUAGCAGAUUUCAGCGAGACUUAUUAUCAUCGAUGAUCUGAUUGUUACUCAUACUGAAGCCC
Small nucleolar RNA from Syzygium oleosum, 91 nucleotides. RefSeq annotates it as small nucleolar RNA R11/Z151. NCBI's taxonomy places the organism in Eukaryota, Viridiplantae, Streptophyta, Magnoliopsida, Myrtales, Myrtaceae. The record is from RefSeq and is a predicted model, not a curated record. The transcript has a single exon.